UACGUAGGCAGCGAGCGUUGUUCGGAAUUACUGGGCGGAAAGAGUGUGUAGGCGGUGCUCUAAGUUCGGUGUGAAAUCUCCUGGCUCAACUGGGAGGGUGCGCCGGAAACUGGAGUGCUUGAGCGUGGGAGAGGAAAGCGGAAUUCCUGGUGUAGCGGUGAAAUGCGUAGAUAUCAGGAGGAACACCUGUGGUGUAGACGGCUUUCUGGACCAUAGCUGACGCUGAGACACGACAGCGUGGGGAGCAAACAGG
RNAcentral lists this ribosomal RNA (253 nucleotides) under uncultured bacterium. Its description in RNAcentral is "partial 16S ribosomal RNA". It matches the Rfam family "Bacterial small subunit ribosomal RNA", at positions 524 to 776 of the family's 1533-position model. The record is from RNAcentral.